Molecule: long non-coding RNA, 875 nt
Organism: Astatotilapia calliptera (eastern happy)
Lineage: Eukaryota; Metazoa; Chordata; Actinopteri; Cichliformes; Cichlidae
Source: Ensembl
GCAGAAGCUGGUGGGAUACCACGAGCAGGCAAGCAGGUUUCUGGACACCAGCAGAGAUGAUGUGGUGAAGCAGCUGUCUGUGUUCGAGGAGCUGCUACUUUUAUCACCUGCAGUUUUGAUCAGUGACCAUGAGCGACAGCAUGGGUCGGGGCUCAGAGAGGAAGUGGCGAGACUCACAGAGAAACUGGAGAAGACUCUGGCAGCCAGUGAGAAGGAGAAGAGUGUGAACAUAGGUCAGCUGCGAACGUCUCUCGGGGAGGAUGAGCUGGAGAUGCUGAACAGCAGAGAAGAGCUGAGACAGCAGCAGCUACACAGCACUAUCUCCAGUGCACACCUUGAGCUGCAGGAAUGUGUGAGAGGCAGAGGGGAGGAGUUUGUUACAUCACUGGCUUCUCUGACAGAGAAGCUGCUCCAUCAGAUGAAUGACCUCUUUAGCCCUGCAGAAACUGGUACAGCAACAGCACGACAGCAGACGUGUGGUGCUGUUACUGUAGAAGCAGCAUCUGAAACAGGAAGCAGACCAAGCGCUGAAAAUAGCACAGGUGACCUGCCAUCUUCUCAUACUACGGUAACAACAGUUUCGAUCGCUACAUCCAAGUGGACCCCAGGACAUGUGACUGUUAUGGAGCAAAGAAACACUGCUAUGAAGCGGUUUGAGCAAGUGGUCAAGUUGGAACUGUUGCUCUCAGACGACAUGAAACGAAGACAGCUGAGCGGACAGCAGAGCUGGAACACACACUGGAGACAACAGAUACACUCUCUGAAACUGAUACAGAAGCCAACAUAGCAGCAGCUGACUGAAAGUUUUUGGUGUAGGCUGUGAUGACAUUUACUGCAUUUAAUGUUUGUUAAUAAAACAGAGAAGAAGAAAAACU